Tachysurus fulvidraco (yellow catfish) is the source of this 1023-nucleotide long non-coding RNA. RefSeq lists it as uncharacterized. The record is from RefSeq and is a predicted model, not a curated record. The transcript is spliced from 4 exons. NCBI's taxonomy places the organism in Eukaryota, Metazoa, Chordata, Actinopteri, Siluriformes, Bagridae.
CCACUCAAGGUCAUGUGACUGAAGACCCCUAUGAAGGCCAUGAGAAGUGCACAUGUGUGUUCAAAGAGCCAAACGUAUGAUGGAACAAACAGGAUGGAUAACUGAACAAACCUCAACUCUAUUCAUCACUAAAGACUGUGGUGAUGGUGGAGAGAUAAAAAACUACAAAUGAACUGCUUCUGAUGGUAACUGUGCAACCAAACCUGAGUAGAAGCCAAAAUCCAGAAUGAAACAUAACAGGACGUGUAUGCGGUUGCAACUAAACAGUUCAGCGUAUCCUCCAUUCCCGGCUCUCCUCUCCGGUCUAAUCUCUGGAGUACAUCUCAAGCUUGUCCCGAGCUGUCUGUGGGUUUCAUGUUAUCACAGAUAAAGUGAGUGUACACAGUGUUAAUCAGAUCAUCAGUGUUAAUCAGUGUUAACCACCAUAGUGACGAUGCUGUGCUCUUGCGCACAUUACGCAUCAUGCUACUCGCAUCCCAGAUAUUCAGAUUUAAUCUUUCUCAUACCUUUUUUUGAGUAAAAAGAGCACAGAUGUCUCUCGCUCUCUCUUUUGCUCUUCUGUGAAAACAACAUUUUAGAAAUCCUGUCUAGGAAAUCAAUUCUUUCACGUGUAGAAAUCUUUAGAGAAUUAAUAAAACAUAUAGGGACAUCAGCUCAACCCCAAAGACAUUUAUUUACUACACUAAACUACUAUUUGCAAAUUAUUAAAAUUUUUCAUAUUUUAAUGAACGUCACUUUUUAUUCAUUUCAUUAUUAUUCAUUUUUAUUGCAUACAUUAAUAGCUGAAAUUAUAGUGAAUUCAUAAGAUACAUUUUUCUUUAUUUUUUCUAUUUAUUUCUUUAUUUUUUAUUUCUUUCCAUCUUUAUUUACUUGUACAGCUAUAUGUCCAUUUUAUUUUAUUUUCAUUUAUUUUACUUUUAAAUUCCAUUUUUGACCCUAUUUUUAUUUUUAGAACCCGGAUUGUCGUAAAAAGCAUUUCACAGCAUGUUGUACUGCGUAUAAUUGAUUAUAUGACAAAUAAAC